Callorhinus ursinus (northern fur seal) is the source of this 100-nucleotide non-coding RNA. Lineage: Eukaryota; Metazoa; Chordata; Mammalia; Carnivora; Otariidae. The record is from RefSeq and is a predicted model, not a curated record.
CUUGUAAAAUACCCACAUGUUCUCCUCUGGAAUGGCUCCAGACUGUAACUAAACCACGAGGUUGCCCCCUGGUGCUUUAUGUAUUUUGCCCCCACUUCCU